Molecule: long non-coding RNA, 932 nt
Organism: Ornithodoros turicata
Lineage: Eukaryota; Metazoa; Arthropoda; Arachnida; Ixodida; Argasidae
Exons: 3
Source: RefSeq, a predicted model, not a curated record
UGUUGAUUGUUGGAUGCACGUUGUUUGUGUGCAUGUGCCAUGUGCGCGAAGUUUCGUGCGCCAAAGUGAUGUGGAAAAGUUAAGGACGUGAUGAACUUUGUGCGGGGCUUCCUUGCUCUUUAUAUGCAAUUUGGGUAUAUGUGAAGCUAUGACAACUUCCUGGGACGUUGCGUUUUGGUAAUGAGGUGAAGCUGACUUUCGGAAUUGUGACGCCUACGAAAACAAUGCUCGAAGCUUCUCCCCAGUUCUUUUAUGCUUCGGGAGUUCAAAGUUCAUUGAUACUUUUUGCCAGCAUUCCAGACAGAACAGAACAUGGAAGUCUAAACUAGCAGAGUGCACUAACACACUGCAAAGUACAAGAGCUCUAAUGAAAAGUGCCUGAUAACGGAGAAGUAAAAAGGUCAUCACCAUCAUAUUUCACUUGUGGGAUGAUUCUGUAGAAUGGCGACUCUCUCACUAUGGAAGUUUUGAGGAAGGCCAACACUACGGAUGGACACAGAUGGCUAGCCUCUGUAACACCUACUACAUCGCAAGGGCCAGUGCAGCACGGACUAUUGGUGGUUGUGCAGUGCGGUGUGGUGUGGAUGACAGCUGAAACUUUUUUAUGAGGAACAUUGUGGCACAUCACCGUGGCUGGAUACUGUACACGUGUUUUGUGCAACUUAUGCAUCAUGUGAAAUUCACAUAGAAAUCUUAUCAGAGAAUGGAAACAUUCAUCAGGUAAGUGCAACAGCCUACCAUGCCUCGUGUUCUGGCAAACACUGUUAUGAAGAUAGACCAUAAGUGAAGACCCUCACUUUCUGUGGUGGAAAAUUUAAUUCAGUGACUUAAAAAUCUGCGUCUCGCUGCAAGUAAAAAAACGUCAAUUCUGCUGCAUUGUUACAACUGCACCAACUCUCCUCUGUUAGUCAUUAAAAGGGUCUCGCAGAAGA